Engraulis encrasicolus (European anchovy) is the source of this 3602-nucleotide long non-coding RNA. RefSeq lists it as uncharacterized. The record is from RefSeq and is a predicted model, not a curated record. Lineage: Eukaryota; Metazoa; Chordata; Actinopteri; Clupeiformes; Engraulidae. The transcript is spliced from 5 exons.
GUACCUCCGACCUAAAUACGCCAAGGCUCCAUAACUAAGCAGAGAGUUUACAUAACUGCACCAGUUGGUGGCGGUAAUGCUCCACGUCGGAAGCCAACCGCCAAUAAACGUGAAUGAAGAAGAAGAAGAAGAAGAAAGAAGGUUUUGGAAAGACACAAGCUUGUUGUGCUUAACUUAUAAAAAUUGGAAAUACUGUGCUAACGCGUGACGCUGGGAACCUGUCAGGGGGAGCUGGUUUUACACCUAUUCUGGUCUACUGUUCUACAAUUCCUCCGUCUGUUACUACUACCUCUACUUCAAAACAGCAACACCACUGACGUCAAGGAAAAAGACAAGACGAGGGGAAUCCUGUGUCCGUGUAAGUUACAGUCCUUCAGUGUGGAAACCCAGUGCUUACAUACACUUGACAGUGGAACAACUUCUACAGUGAAUAACCGCCAGAGUGGAAAACCGAUGCACCAUUGGAAACCGCCGACUGCCAAUGCAUCACCGCUACACCAAUGGACCACCGUCUAAAGAGUGCAUCACGUCGCUGACCAGUGAACAGCCUUCUGCUGCCAGUGACCAAGACUCAAAGACUCCACUCACACCACAACCCAACAGAGAGAAGACACUUCACCUGGGGGCCUGUAGGAUAAAGCUUGAAGAAAAGAGGGGGAAAAAACAAGCUCAAGGAAAAAAACAGGCCAAACAAAUCUUCUGCCUCCCACUUAAAAAAAAAGAAGAAAAAAACUGGAAAAAAAGGUUCAGAAGGUUCUGCCUCCCCCUUCAUAUCCUCUCUUGACAUUUAGGAUCCUUUUAGCCGCUCUCCAUGUCUAGAAACUGUCCCGAUCAUGCCGUCUUGGACUGCUGAAGUGCCUUUCGUCCAAUAGAUCUUGGACUGCUGCUACUGUGGGUGGGGGAGUUCUGGACUUGGACUGUGCGUUGUCCCUGACUGCAAUUGGGUGUUGUGCCUUCAGUCGACUUCGAGUAUGAGUACUGCAGUGAACGUUUUCCUCUGCAUCCUAGUGACAUUGUCUCUUGCUUGUAACGCAGGGUCUUUUACUGGCUUUGUUGACCACUGAAGGAACUGUGCACCGUUGUGCUUUCAGUUAGGUCUUCGGGACUAGCCUGAUGAUGUCUGCAAUGUUCAGAGAACCUGGAUCACCAAUGUCAGUCAGUAGAGUAGAGUAGAGUAGAGUAGAGUAGAGUAGAGUAGAGUAGAGAAGAGUUGUAGAGGCUUGACUUAAGUUAGUGGUUCUGGGCGGCGGAGGCAUUGUCAUGCGCAGGGCCUGUCCUGAUGCCUGCUGGAGGUUCCCGCGGUGCGGUCCGGUCCACGGUUCCUUCGGCUACCUUGGGGUGGGUGGACAACCAGGUCAGUGGAAUGCCUUGCUGCGCAGGUGGGAGGUGGUCUCGCUGUGCGGAGGAGGGCAUUCACUGCAGUGCUCGUCCGGCCUCAGCGGGGGGCAAGGCACCCGGUUGCAGUCUGGGGCGGCGCGUGGGCCGGCUCCGGGCUCCACUGCCAACAGUGGCAGCGGUCCAAGAACUGUUGAACGAAGGGUGCUUCGGUCGUCUGGGAAGGCUGGUUAGGGUAGUUUCAUGGACAUGGAAACCGGCUGAGGGAUUCCUGAGUGUCGGGAGGGGAAUGGGGGCAGUGCCACUCCUGGCCUCAGAGGGGAGGUGGGACAACCAGGACCUCACAGACCGGGUUGGCUGCAGCAGCGUACGCAUGUACACCAGACCUCAGAAGGGAGGUGGGACAGCCAUGAUCUCAUGGAUGCACAGAAGAGAGGGGACUUCAGGGACUUCAGGGCUUCGUCGGGAUUGUAAGCAACACUGGACCACAGGAGCCAGGCGAAUCACCAGGCCCUGCAGCUGAUCGAGGGCCUAAAGGCGCACAGGGAGCCAAAGGGGUCGAAGGAGAAGAGGGACCCGCAGGACAACAGAUGUUCUACACUGCAGCUGGAAUGAACCCUGUCAGAUCCUUCGUCCUGCUACGUUCAAGAGGAACUUCAUGAACCACUGGGUAAGAAAAAUAUGCACAAAUUAUGCAUAAAAAACAUGCUCAUAGUCUCGCAUUGUUUGUAAACUACUUUCAAUUCAGAUAUAAUAGAUGUAAUAGUGUUGCAUUGCUUUGGUCUUUUAUAGAAUGUGCAAUGCACUGCAUGUAUUUCUCAACUGCUCACAUGUAACUAUAAUAUCGUUUCUGUUCUUCCCUCCUCGUGCCUGCGCCCGUCUGUGCGUCCGUGCGUUCGUUUGUGCCUGCGUGCGUCCGUGUCUCCGUCCAGCCGGCUGUGCGUGCGUCCGUCUCUGCAUCCGUGCCUACGUCUAGCAGUCCGUGCCUCCGUCUGGCCGGCUGUGCGUCCGUCCGUGCGUCAGUCGGUCUGUGCGUCCGUGCCUACGUCUGGCCGGCCGUGCGCCCGUCUGUUCCCACGUCUGUGCCGCCGUCUGGCCGGCCGUGCGUCCGUCUGUGCGUCCGUGCCUACGUUUGGCCGGCCGUGCGUCCGUCUGUGCGUCCGUGCCUACGUUUGGCCGGACGUGCAUCCGUCUGUGCCCACGUCCGUGCCUCCGUCUGGCCGGCUGUGCGUCCGUCCGUGCGUCAGUCGGUCUGUGCGUCCGUGCCUACGUCUGGCCGGCCGUGCGCCCGUCUGUUCCCACGUCUGUGCCACCGUCUGGCCGGCCGUGCGUCCGUCUGUGCGUCCGUGCUUCCGUCUGUGCGUCCGUGCCUACGUUUGGCCGGACGUGCAUCCGUCUGUGCCCACGUCUGUGCCUCCGUCUGGCCGGCUGUGCGUGCGUCCGUCCGUCCGUCCGUCCUUGCGUCAGUCCGUCUGUGCGUCCGCGUCUACGUCUGGCCGGACGUGUGUCCGUCUGUGCUUCCGUCUGUCCGUGCCUCCGGCCGGCCAGCUGUCCGUCCGUGUGUGCGUGCCCACGUCUGUGUGUGCAUGCCUGCGUCUGUCUGUCCAUUCGUCCGUCUGUCUGUGCCUCAGUCCGUGCCUACGUCCGGCUGGGCUCAUGUCUGUGCGUCCGUGCGUCUGUCAGUCUGUUUGCCCACAAAAACAAAAAAACAGUAGGGGGUCUACCAAAAAAAUGUUUGAGUGUGUCUGUAUUUGGUCUCCUAUAGAAUUGACUUAAAAUACUGCUGAUGGUGUUCAAAGCUUUAAAUAGUCUUCCUCCCUGUUACAUCUCUGAUAUGCUCUCUUUUUAUGCCCCUGACCGAGCUCUCAGAUCCGCUGAUGCCACGCUGGGGAUGCUAAGGAUUCCUACCCUUCCACCAAAGGAAAUUGGUGAAGCCGCCUUCGAUAUGUACGCGCCCAAGAGAUAGAACUCUGCCUCUUGGCAUCAGAGACACUACCUCCAUCAACUCGCACAACUCUUUCUUAGCUGCUCAGGCCCUACAGGCUCCACAUGUCGUGCCCUGAUGUGCAAAAUCUGUAGUCAUCUCUCUUCCUUUUGAUCCGUGCGUGAUUACAAAGCGUGUGUGUGUGUGUGUGUGUGUGUGUGUGUGUGUGUGUGUGUGUGUGUGUGUGUGUGUGUGUGUGUGUGUGUGUGUGUGUGUGUGUGUGUGUGUGUGUGUGUGUGUAUGAUUACAAAGCGUGUGUGUGUGAUUACAAAGCGUGUGUGUG